AACGAACGCUGGCGGCAUGCCUAACACAUGCAAGUCGAACGAAGCCUUCGGGCUUAGUGGCGCACGGGUGCGUAACGCGUGGGAAUCUGCCCUUUGGUUCGGAAUAACAGUUGGAAACGACUGCUAAUACCGGAUGAUGACGAAAGUCCAAAGAUUUAUCGCCAGAGGAUGAGCCCGCGUAGGAUUAGCUAGUUGGUGUGGUAAAGGCGCACCAAGGCGACGAUCCUUAGCUGGUCUGAGAGGAUGAUCAGCCACACUGGGACUGAGACACGGCCCAGACGCCGACGGGGGGCAGCAGUGGGGAAUAUUGGACAAUGGGCGAAAGCCUGAUCCAGCAAUGCCGCGUGAGUGAUGAAGGCCCUAGGGUUGUAAAGCUCUUUUACCCGGGAUGAUAAUGACAGUACCGGGAGAAUAAGCCCCGGCUAACUCCGUGCCAGCAGCCGCCGUAA
RNAcentral lists this ribosomal RNA (449 nucleotides) under uncultured bacterium. Its description in RNAcentral is "partial 16S ribosomal RNA". It matches the Rfam family "Bacterial small subunit ribosomal RNA", at positions 29 to 523 of the family's 1533-position model. The record is from RNAcentral.